Eriocheir sinensis (Chinese mitten crab) is the source of this 625-nucleotide long non-coding RNA. RefSeq lists it as uncharacterized. The transcript is spliced from 5 exons. The record is from RefSeq and is a predicted model, not a curated record. NCBI's taxonomy places the organism in Eukaryota, Metazoa, Arthropoda, Malacostraca, Decapoda, Varunidae.
GGUGUGCGCGCGCAUCCAGGCAGCCUCUCCAUUACCUCAACAUUGCAAUCCGCGGAGGCACAGCCGACGUCAUCUUUAAUCAGCAUUCCUGCAGAAGUCGGGGCAACUCGACAGGAUCUAACUCCCGCCCUGGUGACAGGACGGCCAACACAACCAACGACUCCUGAUAACAACUACCACUGACGGGGCUCUAGAGGCUGUGGGCCCACAGCCUAACUAGCCCCAUAAAACACCCACGAAGAAGAAGAAGAAGAAGCACUGCAUUCAAGGCGAGUCAAAGAAAAAUAUGCGGGUUCUUCGGAGCAGCAAGCCACGCUCCUACAAUUCCUCAAACUCCCGUGAAUCAAGUGUCAACAAACAGCGUCCGUUCAAAAUGCCACUUCCUGACCUGAAAAAUAUGCGUGUUCUUCGGAGCAGCAAGCCACGCUCCUACAAUUCCUCAAACUCCCGUGAAUCAAGUGUCAACAAACAGCGUCCGUUCAAAAUGCCGCUUCCCGUCCUGAAAAAUGUGCGGGUUCUUCGGAGCAGCAAGCCCCUCCUAUCGCUACGCUCCUUCAAUUCCUCAAACUCAUGCAAAUCAAGUAUCAACAAACAGCGUCCAUUCAAAAUGCAGCUGCCCGACCUG